GGACGCUCCGAGGGUUUCGGCCUUCGGGGAGUGGCGCACGGGUGAGUAGCGCGUGGGAACCUGUCCUUUUGUGGGGGAUAACCGAGGGAAACUUCGGCUAAUACCGCAUGCGCCCCCGGUCUUUGGAUCGGGGGGAAAGAUUUAUCGCAGAGGGAGGGGCCCGCGUCGGAUUAGGUAGUUGGUGGGGUAACGGCCUACCAAGCCGAUGAUCCGUAGCUGGUCUGAGAGGAUGAUCAGCCACACUGGGACUGAGACACGGCCCAGACUCCUACGGGAGGCAGCAGUGGGGAAUAUUGGACAAUGGGCGCAAGCCUGAUCCAGCAAUGCCGCGUGAGUGAUGAAGGCCUUCGGGUUGUAAAGCUCUUUGGGCGGGGACGAUGAUGACGGUACCCGCAGAACAAGCCCCGGCCAACUUCGUG
RNAcentral lists this ribosomal RNA (419 nucleotides) under uncultured bacterium. Its description in RNAcentral is "bacterial SSU rRNA". It matches the Rfam family "Bacterial small subunit ribosomal RNA", at positions 64 to 507 of the family's 1533-position model. The record is from RNAcentral.